CCCGUGCCAAACUCCUUGGUUAUCAACUUCGAACUGCAGCUCGAGGUUGUGACCAACGGGUAUCUGAAGGCUGUCCAGCACCGCGCGGC
Molecule: microRNA precursor, 89 nt
Filed under: Hordeum vulgare
Lineage: Eukaryota; Viridiplantae; Streptophyta; Magnoliopsida; Poales; Poaceae
Description: miR6210 stem-loop (hvu-MIR6210)
Source: miRBase by way of RNAcentral